This 869-nucleotide long non-coding RNA is filed under the name Rattus norvegicus (Norway rat). RNAcentral's name for it is "long non-coding RNA NONRATT002549". Lineage: Eukaryota; Metazoa; Chordata; Mammalia; Rodentia; Muridae. The record is from RNAcentral.
CCGAAAUUCGGUCGUUCCGUCUUCUGAAGCGCCGAACAAAGCCGGAGGAGUCGAAGAAUCUUGACGCCUACCUAGAGUUGAAUGCGGAUGUGUUGAUUCCCCGGGCACCCAUUUUCUCAGCGUUCCUCAUCUGGGUCGGUGGCGACUGUUCUCGAGUGAACUCCUAAGGAGUGUGCUCCAAACUUUGGGUUUGCGCCGCAGACUUAUGAUCUCGAAAGGCCAUUUGGUACCGUCGAGUCGAUCGCAUCUCGUUUGUCUCCUCUGUGAUUGUUACCUGUUAAGCCGGAAUUCUUAUGCAACCAAAGGGUGCACGUUAAAGUGCUUGCUUGCUGUCCCCACGGGCCUCUUUUCUGGAACCCUGGUAGAAAGGAAAGUUCAAGUUUUGAUGAUCCGGGACUCUUGUACACAGUUCAGAUCGAGUACUGUCUGGCCGCCGACCGACUCCGCUGUACUUGGCGUUCCAUGGGGAGAGGAAGUUGUGUUGAAGGGGAUCACCCUACCUGCCCCAUAGUCUGUACUGUCGAUACAGUCAGUUUGUGGGUUUUGUUUCCGUUCACGCGUGCUAGACCUUUGCUGUGCCAGGAAGGCAGAAAGAAAAUAAACUUGAGCUUCUGAUCUUAGAGGAUUUUAUCAGUUUUUGAUACCAGGGAGGGCUAUUUUUCCACCACACCUAGUGGGAUUGUUAAGAACUGCGUACAUACGCUAGGAAAAGAGGUCCCAGGGAUAGCAAGAUUCUAAAUCUAAAAAUGUCAAAUGUUAACUGAAUGAAAGAGUCGCUUUACAUUACCCAACUAGUUUUAAUGACCCCUUUUAAAAACAAAAAACAAACAUUCCUUUUAACAGUUUCAGUUUUGGGCCAAAUCGACCUG